Small nuclear RNA from Oryctolagus cuniculus (rabbit), 194 nucleotides. Its record names the gene U2. It matches the Rfam family "U2 spliceosomal RNA". From Rfam's summary of the family: U2 is a small nuclear RNA (snRNA) component of the spliceosome (involved in pre-mRNA splicing). Complementary binding between U2 snRNA (in an area lying towards the 5' end but 3' to hairpin I) and the branchpoint sequence (BPS) of the intron results the bulging out of an unpaired adenosine, on the BPS, which initiates a nucleophilic attack at the intronic 5' splice site, thus starting the first of two transesterification reactions that mediate splicing. Lineage: Eukaryota; Metazoa; Chordata; Mammalia; Lagomorpha; Leporidae. The record is from Ensembl.
AUCGCUUCUUGGCCUUUUGGUUAAGAUCAAGUGUAGUAUCUGUUCUUAUCAAGAACUUGGAUCCCUACCACCUAUGUGGGAGACCUGGAGUUCCCAGCUUCUGGCCUAGCCAGGCCCAUUCUUGACUGUCACAGGUCUUUGGGGAGUGAACCAUGGUAUGAGAGAUUUCUGUUUCUCUCUCUGCCUUUCAAAAU